UGGNUNCGUGCCCGUCCACCCGAACGGUCGGCAGGCGAUCCGCGUCGGUCUCGCGAGGUGGUAUGGUUCCCCAGAGGCCGGUUCUUGUGCUGCCUACCCCUUCAGGGGAAGCUGGCCACUUGAUGUAAGCCUCCAUCCGGCGCCUUCCAACGGGCGCAGGAGGACAACGGAGCACCCCCCGCGUUCCACCGAGCCUACUCGGUCGCGUGGCCCGCGGGGACGUGCGAUGCUCUCGGACCCAGCGAACGCCGUGGGCGAGGACUCACGUCCCAGUCCCGAAAAGAAGCUCCGGCAUAAUGCAUGACGGNCGCUCCCGCCCCCCGACCGCCCCGGNGGCGCGUGGGCGAGGCGCGGCGUCGCGGAGGAAUGC
This 370-nucleotide unclassified non-coding RNA is filed under the name Acacia calcicola (shrubby wattle). RNAcentral's name for it is "partial external transcribed spacer". The record is from RNAcentral. Lineage: Eukaryota; Viridiplantae; Streptophyta; Magnoliopsida; Fabales; Fabaceae.